AAUGGGAGAAUGACAAAUCGGAUUUUUCUUCUUAAUUUUCAGUAAUUUUCUCCUGAAAAAAUUUAAAUCCGACUAAAAAUGUUAAAAAUUAGAAGGAGAAAUCUGAUUUGUAAUUUUCUUAUU
This is a non-coding RNA of Gossypium hirsutum (cotton), 123 nucleotides long. The record is from Rfam. Lineage: Eukaryota; Viridiplantae; Streptophyta; Magnoliopsida; Malvales; Malvaceae.